RNAcentral lists this microRNA precursor (94 nucleotides) under Pelobates cultripes (western spadefoot toad). The record is from RNAcentral. Lineage: Eukaryota; Metazoa; Chordata; Amphibia; Anura; Pelobatidae.
AUCCAAAUCCACCAUCAACGUUUCAGCUCCUCAUGGAGCUUUCAUCAUGUCCUGAUGAAAGCUCCAUGAGGAGCUGAAACGUUGAUGGUGGAUU